CCAAGGAGUCUAACAUGUGCGCGAGUCAUGGGGUAUUACGAAACCUAAAGGCGCAAUGAAAGUGAAGGCAGCCUCCGGUUUGCCUAGGUAGGAUCCUCCCUGUAACGGGGAGGCGCACUACCGGCCCGUCUCGUCCGCAUCGUCGGAGAGGCGGAGCAAGAGCGUACACGUUGGGACCCGAAAGAUGGUGAACUAUGCCUGAGUAGGACGAAGCCAGAGGAAACUCUGGUGGAGGUCCGUAGCGAUUCUGACGUGCAAAUCGAUCGUCAAACUUGGGUAUAGGGGCGAAAGACUAAUCGAACCAUCUA
This 308-nucleotide ribosomal RNA is filed under the name Pecten jacobaeus. RNAcentral describes it as "eukaryotic LSU rRNA". It matches the Rfam family "Eukaryotic large subunit ribosomal RNA", at positions 666 to 946 of the family's 3401-position model. The record is from RNAcentral. Lineage: Eukaryota; Metazoa; Mollusca; Bivalvia; Pectinida; Pectinidae.